Molecule: long non-coding RNA, 673 nt
Organism: Salmo salar (Atlantic salmon)
Lineage: Eukaryota; Metazoa; Chordata; Actinopteri; Salmoniformes; Salmonidae
Source: RefSeq, a predicted model, not a curated record
UGUUCAUGGGCUGUAGAUGGGUGGAUCUCAGCUAGAGACGUGGAAACAAACAGUUCAGUGAUUUUCCAUGGGUACAGCUAAACAGAAACGUCAGCCACCCCCGUUGUGGUGAGUUGCCAAUACCUACAGUCAACUAUAAUGAUGUCAUUAGCCAGGUGCAAUAAAAUACCUCCUCCCAAACUGUUGGCUCUUCACAAAUCAUCACCACUGAAGCUGAGAGGGUGUACCUCAUAAUAACAGUUUGACCACAGAAAGAGAAUGCAUGUUCGUAGUGGUGUGCUGCAAAUGGUUGCGAUGGCCAUUUUCUUGCUGGCUCAACACGGGACUGCGAUCGGAACCAACGGCACCGUUCCCACGAGCAGCGGCACCAACUCCAAUCUCCCACUCUCCUCUCUGUGGGGGUUUGGCAUCAUGCUCCUGGCUCUGUCCCCCACUCUCCUGCAGCAGAUAGCUACUCUCUGAUGGCAGCAAGGCAGCUGUAUUCACCAUGCACUUCCUCAAUCUGGGAUGUCCAACUAUUCUUUAACUACAUACAUUCUCACCCUAAGGAAGACCACGAUGACCUGUACUCAUUGGACACUUUAUAAAAACCUUUUGUUAUCUACUAAAAUAAAAUAUAGCACACAUGUUAAAACAACUAUGUUUCUGAAUAAAUGCAUCAUGAUAAAGUGAA